This 253-nucleotide ribosomal RNA is filed under the name uncultured bacterium. Its description in RNAcentral is "partial 16S ribosomal RNA". It matches the Rfam family "Bacterial small subunit ribosomal RNA", at positions 524 to 776 of the family's 1533-position model. The record is from RNAcentral.
UACAUGUGGGGCAAGCGUUGUUCGGAAUUACUGGGCAUAAAGGGUGCGUAGGCGGCUUGUUAAGUCAGGGGUGAAAGUUUUCGGCCCAACCGGAAAAUUGCCUUUGAUACUGGCGAGCUUGAGUGCGUGAGGGGUAACCGGAACGAGUGGUGUAGCGGUGAAAUGCGUAGAUAUCACUCGGAAGGCCAAAGGCGAAGGCAGGUUACUGGUACGCAACUGACGCUGAGGCACGAAAGCGUGGGGAGCGAACAGG